AUUGGGCGUAAAGCGAGCGCAGGCGGUUUUUUAAGUCUGAUGUGAAAGCCCUCGGCUUAACCGAGGAAGUGCAUCGGAAACUGGGAAACUUGAGUGCAGAAGAGGACAGUGGAACUCCAUGUGUAGCGGUGAAAUGCGUAGAUAUAUGGAAGAACACCAGUGGCGAAGGCGGCUGUCUGGUCUGUAACUGACGCUGAGGCUCGAAAGCAUGGGUAGCGAACAGGAUUAGAUACCCUGGUAGUCCAUGCCGUAAACGAUGAAUGCUAGGUGUUGGAGGGUUUCCGCCCUUCAGUGCCGCAGCUAACGCAUUAAGCAUUCCGCCUGGGGAGUACGACCGCAAGGUUGAAACUCAAAGGAAUUGACGGGGGCCCGCACAAGCGGUGGAGCAUGUGGUUUAAUUCGAAGCAACGCGAAGAACCUUACCAGGUCUUGACAUCUUUUGAUCACCUGAGAGAUCAGGUUUCCCCUUCGGGGGCAAAAUGACAGGUGGUGCAUGGUUGUCGUCAGCUCGUGUCGUGAGAUGUUGGGUUAAGUCCCGCAACGAGCGCAACCCUUAUGACUAGUUGCCAGCAUUUAGUUGGGCACUCUAGUAAGACUGCCGGUGACAAACCGGAGGAAGGUGGGGGAUGACGUCAAAUCAUCAUGCCCCUUAUGACCUGGGCUACACACGUGCUACAAUGGAUGGUACAACGAGUUGCGAGACCGCGAGGUCAAGCUAAUCUCUUAAAGCCAUUCUCAGUUCGGACUGUAGGCUGCAACUCGCCUACACGAAGUCGGAAUCGCUAGUAAUCGCGGAUCAGCACGCCGCGGUGAAUACGUUCCCGGGCCUUGUACACACCGCCCGUCACACCAUGAGAGUUUGUAACACCCGAAGCCGGUGGCGUAACCCUUUUAGGGAGCGAGCCGUCUAAUGUGGGACAAAUGAUUAGGGUGAAGUCGUAACAAGGUAACCCGUAAAGGC
Molecule: ribosomal RNA, 961 nt
Filed under: uncultured Bacillota bacterium
Lineage: Bacteria; Bacillati; Bacillota
Description: bacterial SSU rRNA
Rfam family: Bacterial small subunit ribosomal RNA
Source: RNAcentral